GUGGGGAAUAUUGCACAAUGGGGGAAACCCUGAUGCAGCGACGCCGCGUGAGUGAAGAAGUAUUUCGGUACGUAAAGCUCUAUCAGCAAGGAAGAAAAUGACGGUACUUGACUAAGAAGCCCCGGCUAACUACGUGCCAGCAGCCGCGGUAAUACGUAGGGGGCAAGCGGUAUCCGGAUUUACUGGGUGUAAAGGGAGCGUAGACGGUAUGGUAAGUCAGAUGUGAAAGCCCGGGGCUCAACCCCGGGACUGCAUUUGAAACUAUCAGACUAGAGUGCAGGAGAGGUAAGUGGAAUUCCUAGUGUAGCGGUGAAAUGCGUAGAUAUUAGGAGGAACACCAGUGGCGAAGGCGGCUUACUGGACUGUAACUGACGUUGAGGCUCGAAAGCGUGGGGAGCAAACAGGAUUAGAAACCCGAGUAGUCC
RNAcentral lists this ribosomal RNA (425 nucleotides) under uncultured bacterium. RNAcentral's name for it is "partial 16S ribosomal RNA". It matches the Rfam family "Bacterial small subunit ribosomal RNA", at positions 354 to 796 of the family's 1533-position model. The record is from RNAcentral.